This 253-nucleotide ribosomal RNA is filed under the name uncultured bacterium. RNAcentral describes it as "partial 16S ribosomal RNA". It matches the Rfam family "Bacterial small subunit ribosomal RNA", at positions 524 to 776 of the family's 1533-position model. The record is from RNAcentral.
UACAGAGGUCUCAAGCGUUGUUCGGAUUCAUUGGGCGUAAAGGGUGCGUAGGCGGCGCGACAAGUCACUUGUGAAAUCUCUGGGCUCAACCCAGAACGGUCAAGUGAUACUGUCGUGCUAGAGUGCGGAAGGGGCAACUGGAAUUCUUGGUGUAGCGGUGAAAUGCGUAGAUAUCAAGAGGAACACCUGCGGCGAAGGCGGGUUGCUGGGCCGACACUGACGCUGAGGCGCGAAAGCUAGGGGAGCGAACGGG